This 299-nucleotide ribosomal RNA is filed under the name uncultured Gardnerella sp. Its description in RNAcentral is "partial 16S ribosomal RNA". It matches the Rfam family "Bacterial small subunit ribosomal RNA", at positions 220 to 525 of the family's 1533-position model. Lineage: Bacteria; Bacillati; Actinomycetota; Actinomycetes; Bifidobacteriales; Bifidobacteriaceae. The record is from RNAcentral.
GGGGGAUGGGGUCGCGUCCUAUCAGCUUGUAGGCGGGUAAUGGCCCACCUAGGCUUCGACGGGUAGCCGGCCUGAGAGGGCGGACGGCCACAUUGGGACUGAGAUACGGCCCAGACUCCUACGGGAGGCAGCAGUGGGGAAUAUUGCGCAAUGGGGAAAACCCUGACGCAGCGACGCCGCGUGCGGGAUGAAGGCCUUCGGGUUGUAAACCGCUUUUGAUUGGGGAGCAAGCCUUUGGGUGAGUGUACCUUUCGAAUAAGCGCCGGGCUAACUACGUGCCCAGCAGCCGCGGGUAAAUA